AGAAGAAAGAGUUAGGGAGAAAUUUUUAGUUGCAAGAAGAGUAGAGGUUCUGAAGGGUUUUCGGAAAAACAAAUUCGGAGUAAGAGAAGUCUGGAAUAGAGAUGAAGGAAUGUCGUCUGAUCCAGUGCCAAUGAAGAAAUAGAAGAAUAAAUUAGAAGAAUUUGAGUUAUAUUUAUGAGUUUGUAGUUGAAAUCUGAGUUUAAAAACAUAUGUAUAGAUAUAUAUCAACUAUAAAUUUUCAAGUGUGAGAUUACGGGAUAUUACCGUAAAUGUGAU
Molecule: small RNA, 276 nt
Filed under: Vigna angularis var. angularis
Lineage: Eukaryota; Viridiplantae; Streptophyta; Magnoliopsida; Fabales; Fabaceae
Description: Non-protein coding transcript
Source: RNAcentral